UUCACGUAGCGAGCGAUCUCAUCCUCGUUUGCCCCUUCUUCGGGCGUAGGCAUCACUGUAUCAAGGACAUACACGAUUUUCUCCGCUGUGAGAACAAUUCUCAAGUUACGGAGCCAAUCCGUAUAAUUUGGACCAGUGAGGAGGUUGACAUCAAGUAUGCCACGUAAGGGAUUUGAAAGUGACAUUUUCUGAAAAUAAAGAUGUAGCAGAAAUGAAUAACAUGCAGAUUUUGCAAGAAAUAAACUAUCAAGAUAUGGACUUCUAUCUUAAUAUGCUCCCACUAUUUUACUAACGAGUCAUGCGACACCCUUAGCACGUGAAACGGAAGUCUCCGGUAGACUUCUAGUGGGGAUCAGGAUCCAAUCAGCAUCUUAGUGUAACCUCGAGGGACUCGACCAAUCACACUAAGCCUAAAAGGUAGGCAACUCUUACCGAUCACAACUCCUUGUGAUUCCCAUCCUGUUCGGCCUCCGAAUCACCAUGGCCUCGAGGGACUCGACCAACCAUGAUGCUCGGUUAAGUUAACACCUUCGUUACAAGAUGAGUCUGAUUUGAUGAUAUACCCUCGAGGGACUCGACCAAGCAUACCAUGCCCUCAGGUCACCGAUGACAUCUCUAUGUCGUAAGCAAGAUAGCGAAUCGCGAUAUAGGUGAGUCUCGAGGGACUCGACCAACUCAACCUACACCGGGAAUCGGUUCCUACUCAUAACGAUGGAAGGCCACAUGGGUCAAUCUAAUUGCCUCACGUUUACCGACUUAAUAUUAUCGAGAGAUGUUUCUAUGAUUUGGUCUCCU
RNAcentral lists this long non-coding RNA (795 nucleotides) under Musa acuminata (dwarf banana). RNAcentral describes it as "long non-coding RNA (MACU_LNC009049)". Lineage: Eukaryota; Viridiplantae; Streptophyta; Magnoliopsida; Zingiberales; Musaceae. The record is from RNAcentral.